CCUUUUUAUUGUAUACAGGUGCUCAGCUGAUUGGAUGAUACCUGCUCCCAUUGGGAUCUCACUAUGUUACUUGGGCUGGUCUCGAACUCCUGGCUUCAAGUGAUCCUCCCAUCUCAAUCUCCCAAAGUGCUGUGACUACAGGUGUGAGUCACUGUGCCACGCCCAACCUGAAACCUUGACUGCAACUCACCUCAGAGACUGCGACACACUGGCUAUGCCCCAAGUCAUAUGUGGAGAGGGCAGCUUUUCUCAUCCAGCUUGCCAGGCUCUACUAAAUUGAACAUAGACAGAAGGAAAAGAAAGGCAUGUUCUGGGAGCUCAGAGUUUUUUGUUACACAUGUCUCGAAGGGUACUAAUACAUCUCCAGUAGCUGUGAUUAUGCCAUGAAAUGUCUCUAAUAAAAAUUACUUUUUGAAAUAA
RNAcentral lists this long non-coding RNA (420 nucleotides) under Pan troglodytes (chimpanzee). RNAcentral describes it as "lincRNA". The record is from RNAcentral. Lineage: Eukaryota; Metazoa; Chordata; Mammalia; Primates; Hominidae.